Molecule: ribosomal RNA, 1592 nt
Filed under: human gut metagenome
Description: bacterial LSU rRNA
Rfam family: Bacterial large subunit ribosomal RNA
Source: RNAcentral
CCUCGAAAUAGCUUUAGGGCUAGCCUCAUGCAAGUCUUACGGAGGUAGAGCACUGAAUUCCUAAGGGGGCGUCAAAGCUUACCAAGGGAUAUCAAACUCCGAAUGCCGUGUAGAUNGUGCAUGGGAGUCAGACUAUCCGAGAUAAGUUGGGUAGUCAAAAGGGAAAGAGCCCAGACCUACAGCUAAGGUCCCAAAAUGUGUGUUAAGUGGAAAAGGAUGUGGGAUUUCGAAGACAACUAGGAUGUUGGCUUAGAAGCAGCCAUCCAUUAAAAGAGUGCGUAAUAGCUCACUAGUCGAGAGGUCCUGCGCCGAAAAUGUCCGGGGCUGAAACACACUACCGAAGCUUGGGAAUUGACGAAUGUUAAUUGGUAGAGGAGCAUUCUUAACGGGGCGAAGCUGUACCGGAAGGAGCAGUGGACUGUUAAGAAGAGAGAAUGCCGGAAUGAGUAGCGAGAGGAAGGUGAGAAUCCUUCCGGCCGAAUAUCUAAGGUUUCCAGAGUAAAGCUGAUCUGCUCUGGGUAAGUCGGGGCCUAAGGCGAGGUCGAAAGACGUAGUCGAUGGAUAACAGGUAAAGAUUCCUGUACUGUAUCAUAACAGAACUGUGGGGACGCAGACAGAGAGCAUAAGCCGGGAAUGGAAAGACCGGUACAAGCGAGGUAGGAGUGCAUCAGGCAAAUCCGGUGCACAAUCUGAAGACGUGAUGUGGGGCGUAAAGCCGGAAGUAUGUGAGCUGGCUGCCAAGAAAAGCCGCUAUUGUUUAUGAUAUACCCGUACCGUAAACCGACACAGGUGGAUGAGGAGAGAAUCCUAAGGCCGACGGGAGAAGCAUUGUUAAGGAACUCGGCAAAAUGACUCCGUAACUUCGGGAGAAGGAGUGCCAUGUAAAAGUGGCCGCAGAGAAUUGGCCCAAGCAACUGUUUAGCAAAAACACAGGUCUAUGCAAAACCGAAAGGUGAGGUAUAUGGGCUGACGCCUGCCCGGUGCUGGAAGGUUAAGGGGAGAGGUUAGCCGUAAGGCGAAGCUUUGAACUUAAGCCCCAGUAAACGGCGGCCGUAACUAUAACGGUCCUAAGGUAGCGAAAUUCCUUGUCGGGUAAGUUCCGACCCGCACGAAAGGCGUAAUGAUUUGGGCACUGUCUCAACAAUGCACCCGGUGAAAUUGAAAUACCAGUGAAGAUGCUGGUUACCUGCGCCAGGACGGAAAGACCCCAUGGAGCUUUACUCCAGCUUGAUACUGGGAUUCGAUAUUGCAUGUACAGGAUAGGUGGGAGACUGAGAACUGAUGACGCCAGUUGUCAGGGAGUCACUGUUGGGAUACCACCCUUGUAGUAUUGGAUUUCUAACCAGCAGCCGUGAACCGGCUGGGGGACAAUGUCAGGUGGGGAGUUUGACUGGGGCGGUCGCCUCCGAAAGGGUAUCGGAGGCGCUCAAAGGUUCCCUCAGAAUGGUUGGAAACCAUUCGAAGAGUGCAAAGGCAGAAGGGAGCUUGACUGCGACACCGACGGGUGGAGCAGGUACGAAAGUAGGACUUAGUGAUCCGGUGGUAUAAAGUGGGAUCGCCAUCGCUCAACGGAUAAAGCCAACCUGGGGAUA